This 402-nucleotide ribosomal RNA is filed under the name bacterium. RNAcentral's name for it is "partial 16S ribosomal RNA". It matches the Rfam family "Bacterial small subunit ribosomal RNA", at positions 355 to 776 of the family's 1533-position model. The record is from RNAcentral.
UGGGGAAUUUUGCACAAUGGGGGAAACCCUGAUGCAGCGACGCCGCGUGAUUUAGAAGGCCUUCGGGUUGUAAAAAUCUUUUUUACGGGAUGAAAAUGACAGUACCGUAAGAAUAAGGUCCGGCUAAAUACGUGCCAGCAGCCGCGGUAAUACGUAUGGACCGAGCGUUGUCCGGAAUCAUUGGGCGUAAAGGGUACGUAGGCGGCCUAGUAAGUUAGAAGUGAAAUAAUAUAGCUCAACUAUAUAAAGCUUUUAAAACUGCUAGGCUUGAGAGAUGGAAGGGACAGUGGAAUUCCUAGUGUAGCGGUGAAAUGCGCAGAUAUUAGGAAGAAUACCGGUGGCGAAGGCGACUUUCUGGUCAUCAUCUGACGCUGAGGUACGAAAGCGUGGGUAGCAAACAGG